RNAcentral lists this ribosomal RNA (869 nucleotides) under Frigoribacterium sp. Its description in RNAcentral is "bacterial SSU rRNA". It matches the Rfam family "Bacterial small subunit ribosomal RNA", at positions 55 to 935 of the family's 1533-position model. Lineage: Bacteria; Bacillati; Actinomycetota; Actinomycetes; Micrococcales; Microbacteriaceae. The record is from RNAcentral.
AUGCAAGUCGAACGAUGAACUGGAGCUUGCUCCAGGGAUUAGUGGCGAACGGGUGAGUAACACGUGAGUAACCUGCCCUUGACUCUGGGAUAAGCGCUGGAAACGGCGUCUAAUACCGGAUACGAGCUUCAGCCGCAUGGCUAGGAGCUGGAAAGAAUUUCGGUCAAGGAUGGACUCGCGGCCUAUCAGCUAGUUGGUGAGGUAAUGGCUCACCAAGGCGACGACGGGUAGCCGGCCUGAGAGGGUGACCGGCCACACUGGGACUGAGACACGGCCCAGACUCCUACGGGAGGCAGCAGUGGGGAAUAUUGCACAAUGGGCGAAAGCCUGAUGCAGCAACGCCGCGUGAGGGACGACGGCCUUCGGGUUGUAAACCUCUUUUAGUAGGGAAGAAGCGAAAGUGACGGUACCUGCAGAAAAAGCACCGGCUAACUACGUGCCAGCAGCCGCGGUAAUACGUAGGGUGCAAGCGUUGUCCGGAAUUAUUGGGCGUAAAGAGCUCGUAGGCGGUUUGUCGCGUCUGCUGUGAAAACUGGGGGCUCAACCCCCAGCCUGCAGUGGGUACGGGCAGACUAGAGUGCGGUAGGGGAGAUUGGAAUUCCUGGUGUAGCGGUGGAAUGCGCAGAUAUCAGGAGGAACACCGAUGGCGAAGGCAGAUCUCUGGGCCGCUACUGACGCUGAGGAGCGAAAGCAUGGGGAGCGAACAGGAUUAGAUACCCUGGUAGUCCAUGCCGUAAACGUUGGGAACUAGAUGUGGGGGCCAUUCCACGGUCUCCGUGUCGCAGCUAACGCAUUAAGUUCCCCGCCUGGGGAGUACGGCCGCAAGGCUAAAACUCAAAGGAAUUGACGGGGGCCCGCACAAGCGGCGG